CCUACGGGAGGCAGCAGUGAGGAAUAUUGGUCAAUGGGCGCGAGCCUGAACCAGCCCAGUAGCGUGAAGGAUGACUGCCCUACGGGUUGUAAACUUCUUUUAUAAAGGCAUAGAGUGAGGCACGUGUGCCUUUUUGUAUGUACUUUAUGUAUAAGGAUCGGCUAAAUCCGGGCCAGAAGCCGCGGUAAUACGGAGGAUCCGAUCGUUAUCCGGAUUUAUUGGGUUUAAAGGGAGCGUAGAUGGGUUGUUAAGUCAGUUGUGAAAGUUUUCGGCUCAACCGUAAAAUUGCAAUUGAUACUGGCAGCCUGGAGUACAGUUGAGGGAGGCGGAAUUCGUGGGGUAGCGGUGAAAUGCUUAGAUAUCACGAAGAACUCCGAUUGCGAAGGCAGCCUACUAAACUGCCACUGACAUUGAUGCGCGAAAGUGUGGGGAUCAAACAGGAUUAGAUACCCCUGUAGUC
This 460-nucleotide ribosomal RNA is filed under the name uncultured bacterium. RNAcentral describes it as "partial 16S ribosomal RNA". It matches the Rfam family "Bacterial small subunit ribosomal RNA", at positions 338 to 795 of the family's 1533-position model. The record is from RNAcentral.